Molecule: transfer RNA, 60 nt
Filed under: Dipodomys ordii (Ord's kangaroo rat)
Lineage: Eukaryota; Metazoa; Chordata; Mammalia; Rodentia; Heteromyidae
Rfam family: tRNA
About the family: Transfer RNA (tRNA) molecules are approximately 80 nucleotides in length. Their secondary structure includes four short double-helical elements and three loops (D, anti-codon, and T loops).
Source: Rfam by way of RNAcentral
GUGGCUCAGUGGUAGAGCACUUGCCUUGCAUGCAAGAGGCCCUGGGUUCGAUUCCUCAGC